RNAcentral lists this ribosomal RNA (427 nucleotides) under uncultured bacterium. RNAcentral describes it as "partial 16S ribosomal RNA". It matches the Rfam family "Bacterial small subunit ribosomal RNA", at positions 355 to 774 of the family's 1533-position model. The record is from RNAcentral.
UGGGGAAUAUUGCACAAUGGGCGCAAGCCUGAUGCAGCCAUGCCGCGUGUAUGAAGAAGGCCUUCGGGUUGUAAAGUACUUUCAGCGGGGAGGAAGGCGAUAAGGUUAAUAACCUUGUCGAUUGACGUUACCCGCAGAAGAAGCACCGGCUAACUCCGUGCCAGCAGCCGCGGUAAUACGGAGGGUGCAAGCGUUAAUCGGAAUUACUGGGCGUAAAGGGCACGCAGGCGGUCUGUCAAGUCGGAUGGGAAAUCCCCGGGCUCAACCGGGGAACUGCAUUCGAAACUGGCAGGCUAGAGUCUUGUAGAGGGGGGUAGAAUUCCAGGUGUAGCGGUGAAAUGCGUAGAGAUCUGGAGGAAUACCGGUGGCGAAGGCGGCCCCCUGGACAAAGACUGACGCUCAGGUGCGAAAGCGUGGGGAGCAAACA